GGGCAAGUCUUUCACGACCAGCUCCCGCUGAACUCCCCCAGGUCCGGAAGGAAGCAAGGGUAGGCGGUCGUAGCGGUGCGAUGGAAGUAGCUUGCCCCAA
RNAcentral lists this signal recognition particle RNA (100 nucleotides) under Flavobacteriales bacterium. RNAcentral describes it as "signal recognition particle sRNA small type". It matches the Rfam family "Bacteroidales small SRP", at positions 8 to 103 of the family's 107-position model. Rfam says of the family: The non-coding component of the signal recognition particle in Bacteroides The record is from RNAcentral. Lineage: Bacteria; Pseudomonadati; Bacteroidota; Flavobacteriia; Flavobacteriales.